Molecule: long non-coding RNA, 4719 nt
Organism: Chinchilla lanigera (long-tailed chinchilla)
Lineage: Eukaryota; Metazoa; Chordata; Mammalia; Rodentia; Chinchillidae
Source: Ensembl
UGCUUCCUGAAUAACUGCAGAAUGUGCUUCUUGUGGUUAAAUGAGGGAUCUGUUUAAUAUGGAUGAAAUACCAACACUCCAGGCAUUUUCAUUGACAUUUCGCUGUGACUUUUUGAACUUGGAGGAGUGCUGACACGGAACCCUGUCCUUUGUGCUCUGCGAAGCCUACAGGCGGACAGCAGAGCCGGGGCAGGAGAGGGGACAGGCGACGCUGGGGUUCAGCCUUCGUGAUCUUCAUUUUCACUCACACUGCUGUGUUCCCUGUUUUCCAGGACUGUCUCUGAAAGCAGUCAGGAAACCAGGCAAGGGAUUUAUUGUGAUCUUUUCAGGGCUCGCGAAUCCGAUUUCUCUCCAGCGAUAUUAGCCUUGCUCACCGGCCCAAGUGAGGACGUUGGUGCUGGGCGUUUAUUUCUCAAGACUUGUCAAAAAGGUCAAGGGUCACUGUGUCUUUCGGAACCAGAAGCCUCCCAGAGCGGCUGGGCAGAGCCCUGUGACCCUGCGCCCUGGGCACAUUUGCAAACAGACGCAGGGUCCGGGGGUCCAGGGCAGCCCCGCUCCCCCUCCCGGGUCGGUGCCGGUCGAGCCCCGCUCCCGGGCAGCCCUAGCGUCUGGCGGCGGCUCGGGAAAGACAUGCUGUUUUGUUUAAAUCCUCCACAUUCUUUGCCAUUUCCCCAUUGGCCGGAUGGGGCUACCCUCCCCGCCGCGGCCGCUGCUGAUGUCAGCUUCGCCGCGCUCGCUCCUCCCGCACCCACCUCGCCGGCCCCAGCCUCACUGCAGCGCGGCUCGGCGCGACUCCGGGCCCGGCGAGGCGCCGCAAACUCGCUCGGGGCGGGGGGCGCGCGCUCGGCUGCACGCGCUGCCCCGCGGUGAGUGUCCGGGUCUCCAGGAAAUGGAGACUCCGCGAGGGCUGCUCCGGCCCGGGCCUCCCUUCCGUCCCGGGCCUCACUCCUCGGCUUCCUGACGGUUUCCCAACCGCUCCGCGUCGGUGCGGAGACGGCCGGGGAGCGCGGAGCCAGGCAAGGCAAUUUGCAACUCGGUGGUGUGGCAACGAAUACCACCAGCCACCCAGGCCGUAUUUGUGUUCAAAUGCGGGGCGUGAAAUCUGUCGGAUAACGUUAUCGAGCCGCUGCUUGCUGAAAAGAGCGGUUUUGUGUGGCCUGGACCGGGGCUGGGCUCAGGGGGGCUAUCCUGAUUUGUCAUCUGGGACCAGCGCCGAGGCAAGACCCUGGGGCCAUGAGGGCAAGAGCAAAGGAUCCCGGAGUUUCCAAAACGCCCCACGGCGACCCCGGCUCUGCAGGGCCCGUGGAGCUUUGCAGCUGGUUGGCCCCGGAGGAGGCGGUGGCAUUUGCGCAGGGUCUGGAAGGAUGGAAGCCAUGUGGGGGCAGAGUUAGGGGUGCGUGCAACCUUGUGCGCGGAGAAGCGGCCCCCAGCUUUGUGGAGAAAGAGGAAGGCAGAUGAGCGGAAGUGGCGGACUGGAGUCUUUCCAGAGGAGCUGGCGAUCUGCCCAGCUGGUGGGCACGGAGCUGGGGCAGCGCCGACGGGGCUGGGUAAAGGCUGACUGUGUCCCUGCCUGGUGGGUAUAACUUGGAAAUUUAGGGGCAGUGUUGGGACUGCGUCAACACACACACACACACACACACACACACACUCACACACACACACACACACUCACACAAAUGCAAGACACAGUCAAGAAAAGAACCAGUUCUAGAAUCUUCUCGUCUACUAAAAGUGUCUUUAUCCUGGUCGUUUCUCUUCUCAGACUUCCUCAAACAUGCAAGCAGAGCACUUCUCCCUUUUUUCCUUUCCUUUUUUUUUUUUGAUAUCCACAAGUACCCAGUGAGGUAAUCCCAUGUAAGUGGUAUAGGUGGAGGCCCUUUCUUAAUUGGCCGAUGAAAUCAGACUCCACCUGUAGGAUAAUGUGUAAUUAUAGAUUAUUUAAUGUGUAAUUCAUCUGGAUGAAAAUAAGCAUGAUUCAGUGUGAGUGAGAUCAUUUUCUGAAGUCCUUGUCUACUUUGUCAGAGAAGUGAGGGGGCAAGUGAGAUAGGAGGUUUCAACCCCAAAGAAUUCAGGGGAACCAAAUCAGAUGCUGGGCGAGGGGAGCAGGCCCAGCUUGCCAGAUGUUAGGCCCCCAGAGUCUGAACUGGUAGCAGCCCCGUAAUCUCCACCUUCUCUCUUUUUUUUUUUUUUCCCGGUACCGGGAAUCGAACUCAGAACCUCAUGCUUGCCAGGCAGGCGCUGUGCCGCUGAGCUAAAUCCCCAGCCCCUCCCAUUCUCUCUUUUUGCUCUAUGUCCCUCUGACCUUAACACUGAAAAUUGAGGAGCAGCUUUAGUGUCUUCCAUUGUUUUGCUUCACCCCUUGAUUCACGUUGGACCCGAUUCAACCUGCUGGAACUUCUGGGCUUGUUCCUGUGUGACCUUCACAGUUAAUUAGUAGCACUGUGGUCGGAGUUUUUGCAAAUGAAGCAAAGGCCUGUGUUUUGAAGAGGCAGUGUCUGUUCUUUGCCCCUGGCCUGACACCAUUUCCCCACCCCACAGGUGGGGACUUAGGGAGCCCGGGGUGUUAUUAUCCACCUUGUAAGGAGGGUUAAUGUGCCCCAGGCCACACAGCUAGUUAAUAGCCCAGCGCAGAGCAGAGCCCUGCUACAGCACAUUAUUUGCUUUGCCUUACUCUGGGCUCUGCCCUUCACUAGUAUUUAAUACAGGAAAAGGAGAAGCAUUUCUUGAAAACAGGUAAAGUCAGCACUGUCAGUUAACUCAAAGCAUCAGAGGCCUCUGAGUUGUUCUAGGUAGCGCUGGCUUCUACUAUUUCUCCAGCCUUGUUUCAACACUUGAAAUGUUAACACAGGAAUAGCUCAAGAGGCAAAGAAAAUACAGCUGAGCUGCAGUCUAGAUCAGAGUGUUGGUAGGUUACGUUCUUGUGUGUAUUUGUAUUUAAACAUUAAUUUAAUGUGUAGGGCCGGGGGUGGGGGUGUGUAGCUCAGGGGUAGAGUGCCUGCCUGGCAUGAGCACGGCCCUGGGUUCCAUGCCCAGCACUGGACCAAGGAAUUUCAGAAUAAAGCAUUGUGAGAAGUACCACCGCAUGGAAUAAUUUUCAUUAAAAAACCUCACUGGACGCUGUCUCCUUGUUUGUGUUAAAUGUAGACGUCUCUGAACUAAAUAUAAGCCUGUUGGAAAGUUAGGAACAGAGAAGGUCCCUGGGGGAUGUUAGUUGCUAUAAAGAGAAAACUGUCAUUGUCUUCAUUUGAAACAUUUGGUGACAUAGAUUCCAGAAUGCUAGGCUUGCAAGAGCUGCUCGGUGGAGAGCUCUGGCUGUCCAAGGCUCAGUUAGCUGUCUCAUGGCCAAGGCCAGAGUCCAGGCUGGAGUCCAGGUCCUCUGACGUGAAGCCUUUUGACUGCAGGCCAGGGGGGCCUUUUGCAUUCCUGGUUGGAAGAAAAUAUUAUCCCUGAGGCCUCUGUGGACUCAGGUAUGCUGGGCAGUCUCUGGUUGGAGGUGGCUGGGGACUCUGGCUCUCCUUACCUAGGGGCUAUACCGGGGUAAUCCCUAUUGAAGGGCGGCCAGGGGGCUCUUUGUGUAACAAGCUCACUGGUUGUCCUUGGAUGGUAUGGUUUUUGGGGGUGGGUUUGGUAUGCCUGGUAGAAUCCAAGACCUCCCCACCCCCAGCUAUUCCUCCGGACUGCCACAGGUCCCAAGAUCUUACGCACCAUCUCUGGAGCAGUCUGGUGAUCACCCCUCCCAGACAGAGUGUUUAUUAGCAAGAUAAGCAUUGUGAGCUAAGUACAUCCUUACGUUAUCUAAGGCAGGGAUCCCUUACGUGUCUUUGUUUUCUUUUUGCUAAGUACUAGAGACUGAAUCCAGGGGCACUACCACUGAGCUAUACUCCCAACCACAUCUGUCUGUCUAUGGUGUUGCUAAAUUGCCCAGACUGAACCGGGUGUGGUGACGCAUAGCUGUAAUCACGGCACUCAGGACGCUGAGGCAGGAGGGUCACUGUGAGUUUGAGGGCAGGCUGGGCUAUAUAGUGAGUUCAAGGCCAGCCUGAAUUACAUAGUGAGACCCUGUCUCAAACAAAACAAUACAAAACAAAACAAAACAACACAGAGUAAAUUGCCUAGACUGGCUUCAAAUUUGUAUCUCCCACCUCAACCUACCAAGUAACUGGGAUUACAGGUGACACCGCCAUACUUGGCUUCCUUCCUGUCUUUUCUUUUCUUUUUUUCAUUUUUUCCUGUUUAACUGUUCCUAUCUGACUGUGUUAACAUGAAUGUGUGUACUUUUAGGGAACUAUCUGUGGUCUGUAGGGAUUUGGUGUACAGUGAAGGAAAAUAGAAACACUGUCUUCCCCUUCAGGAAAAGAAGAGAGAGAGAAAGAGAGAAGCAAAGCAACUUUUCAUGCAGAAUAUUACGUUGUUCUUUGCCCUGGCGGGGAGCCAGUGCACUUUAUCCAGGCUCCUCCGGGUCCCUGGAGAGCUUUCUUACGUGCAUUUCUGAGAACAGAUCUGGGAUCAGGGUGGUGCCACCUCCAAAGUAAAUGAAUGCAGAUGCCAAACGUUCAGCAGUGCUUCUUGCGCUUGGUUUAAAUGAUUUAUUAUGAAACACAUCUGCAGGCAUAUUGGGAAAGAAGUUCCGGAAGGACAGAGGUUUUGAGUUGGAUGUUGGCAUUGGUGUUGCUUCUGGUACAAGGCGAUACCUUCACAUAUAAAGCAGAAAUGUGUGGU